GAUGAACGCUGGCGGCGUGCCUAAUACAUGCAAGUCGAACGAAAAGACCAGGAGCUUGCUCCUCUGACGUUAGCGGCGGACGGGUGAGUAACACGUGGAUAACCUACCUAUAAGACUGGGAUCACUACGGGCAACCGGAGCUAAUACCGGAUAAUCUAUUGCACCGCAUGGUGCAAUGGUAAAAUACGGUUUUGCUGUCACUUCUCGAUGGAUCCGCGCCGCAUUAGCUGGUUGGUAAGGUCACGGCUUACCAAGGCAACCAUGCGUAGCCGACGUGAGAGAGGGAUCGGCGACACGAGAAGGGAGACACGGACCAGACACCUAAGGGAGGCAGCAGUAGGGAAUCGGCCGCAAUGGGCGAAAGCCUUACGGAGCAACGGCGCGUGAGUGAUGAAGGUCUUCGGAUCGUAAAACUCUGUUAUUAGGGAAGAACAAAUGUCGAAGUAACUAAGCACGUCGUGACGGUACCGAAUCAGAAAGCCACGGCUAACUACGUG
RNAcentral lists this ribosomal RNA (497 nucleotides) under uncultured bacterium. Its description in RNAcentral is "partial 16S ribosomal RNA". It matches the Rfam family "Bacterial small subunit ribosomal RNA", at positions 28 to 507 of the family's 1533-position model. The record is from RNAcentral.